This 1032-nucleotide long non-coding RNA is filed under the name Nicotiana tabacum (common tobacco). Its description in RNAcentral is "long non-coding RNA (NTAB_LNC007593)". Lineage: Eukaryota; Viridiplantae; Streptophyta; Magnoliopsida; Solanales; Solanaceae. The record is from RNAcentral.
UUUAACUAAUAUCCACCAACGGUACAAAGAACUUUUACAUUAUCAGGUCACCUUUAUUGUAUGUACCAGGUGGCCUGCUUUAUUCCCACUUUUUAUGGAGGGUUACCUGCAAAUUACUUAAUUUGAAUGACCUGAUUGUGUAAUUAUUUAUUUACACCGUCGCACAUAUAAGUUAAACUCAUAAAUGCAUACUGUGUGAUUCAAUAAUGAAACUAAUUGAAUUUUAUGCAAGAUUAAGCGCAAUACAACUAUUUUAAAAAAAAUAUGGCUACUACAGUGGACUGAAGAGCUUUCAUCUCCAUAGUUGGCCACAAAAUAAGUGAUAAAAUCAUUUGAAAACCUCAGUUAACCUUUAAACUCUGAUAGCAAAAGUAGGUACAACUCAUUGCAAGAUCUGACAAGAUACACAUUAUGACUAUGAUGCUAAGGCUAUUGACUGGAAAAUCCUCAAGCAACGCACUGGACACAUUCCAACACCGAGCCAUAAUCAACUUAAGACCAAAUUAGUGUAGUACUUUUUACAUACACAAAUGCAAUUCAAUUUAAGACCAAAACAUUACUUUUCACAACAAUUGAAUGCCAUUUAUAAUAGACCUAUAAAAGAAUACUGAUAAAAAACUGGAAUUACACUUAAGCGAAAAGCUCAUUGCUUGAUUGUUUUUCUAUAACGAAGAAGUAAAAACAACAAAAAAACAAGUUGAAACGAAAGUAAAGCUUACCCAGAUCGUACUUGAAGAGCAGGGUUUUGUUUUUUGGGAGAAUGUGGUCACAGAUCUGCAGGGUUUACUUCAUAAUCACUAUAUCUGUGUGUGUGUGUGUGUAAUCAGUGAGUAGAAAGAGAGAGAAAAGGAUAUAUCUAGAGUCGAAGAAAUAAUGAGAAAAAGUGGGGCCGCUUAAUACGACGACGUGUAUAUAAUAUAGUCAAUCAGAGAGAAGAGUUUCUUUGCCAGUUCUUAUUGGAAUUAUUUACGAAUAUGACACUGAGGCAACCUUGAGCACUGGUGUGGAGACUGGCAUUUGACUGACUAGGCC